This 238-nucleotide ribosomal RNA is filed under the name uncultured bacterium. RNAcentral's name for it is "partial 16S ribosomal RNA". It matches the Rfam family "Bacterial small subunit ribosomal RNA", at positions 96 to 334 of the family's 1533-position model. The record is from RNAcentral.
UGGCGGACGGGUGAGUAACGCGUGGGUAACCUGCCUUGUACUGGGGGGCAACAGUUAGAAAUGACUACUAAUACCGCAUAAGCGCACAGUAUCGCAUGAUACAGUGUGAAAAACUCCGGUGGUACAAGAUGGACCCGCGUCUGAUUAGCUAGUUGGUAAGGUAACGGCUUACCAAGGCGACGAUCAGUAGCCGACCUGAGAGGGUGACCGGCCACAUUGGGACUGAGACACGGCCCAA